Neomonachus schauinslandi (Hawaiian monk seal) is the source of this 102-nucleotide small nuclear RNA. NCBI's taxonomy places the organism in Eukaryota, Metazoa, Chordata, Mammalia, Carnivora, Phocidae. The record is from RefSeq and is a predicted model, not a curated record.
GCUCUCUUUGGCAGAACAUAUACCAAAAUUGGAACAAUACAGAGAUUAGCAUUGCCCCUGCUCAAGGAUGACAUGCAAGUUUGUGAAGCGUUCCAUAUAAAA